This 246-nucleotide unclassified non-coding RNA is filed under the name Hevea brasiliensis (rubber tree). Lineage: Eukaryota; Viridiplantae; Streptophyta; Magnoliopsida; Malpighiales; Euphorbiaceae. The record is from RNAcentral.
UGGAACACUAUCAUAAGCCUUAUCUAAAUCGAUAAAAACCAUAGAUGUAGUAAACCAGUACCUGAGACUUGGUACUGUAAACCAGAAAAUUCACAAUCUCAACCUUGAGAUCCAAUAGUCCAUAGAUGUAGUAAAAUAUGUGAGCAAACAAAUUAAACACUGAAAAAAUCAUGAUGACAGUGAAAGAAGAAGAGAAAGCAGAAGUGAUAGAUUAAAGUACUUACCUUGGAGUACCCAAAAUCACAA